This 441-nucleotide ribosomal RNA is filed under the name uncultured soil bacterium. RNAcentral's name for it is "bacterial SSU rRNA". It matches the Rfam family "Bacterial small subunit ribosomal RNA", at positions 26 to 452 of the family's 1533-position model. The record is from RNAcentral.
AGAGUGAACGCUGGCGGUAGGCCUAACACAUGCAAGUCGAACGGCAGCACAGUGGUAGCAAUACCAUGGGUGGCGAGUGGCGGACGGGUGAGGAAUACAUCGGAAUCUACCUUUUCGUGGGGGGAUAACGUAGGGAAACUUACGCUAAUACCGCAUACGCCCUUCGGGGGAAAGCCGGGGAUCGCAAGACCUGGCGCGGAUAGAUGAGCCGAUGUCGGAUUAGCUAGUUGGUGAGGUAAUGGCUCACCAAGGCGACGAUCCGUAGCUGGUCUGAGAGGAUGGUCAGCCACACUGGAACUGAGACACGGUCCAGACUCCUACGGGAGCAGCAGUGGGGAAUAGUUGGACAAGUCGGGGCGACGAAGGCCCUGAUCCAGCCAUACCCGCGUGGGUGAAGGAAGGCCUUACGGGUUGUAAGUCCCUUUUGUUAGGAAAGAAAAG